RNAcentral lists this non-coding RNA (31 nucleotides) under Rattus norvegicus (Norway rat). The record is from RNAcentral. Lineage: Eukaryota; Metazoa; Chordata; Mammalia; Rodentia; Muridae.
UGAACGAUGUUGUUGUUCUAUGAUUGCCUCU